UACAGGGGGGGCAAGCGUUGUUCGGAAUUACUGGGCGUAAAGGGUCUGUAGGUGGCCAACUAAGUCAGACGUGAAAUCCCUCAGCUUAACUGGGGAACUGCGUCUGAUACUGGAUGGCUUGAGUGUGGGAGAGGAAUGCGGAAUUCCAGGUGUAGCGGUGAAAUGCGUAGAUAUCUGGAGGAACACCGGUGGCGAAGGCGGCAUUCUGGACCAUAACUGACACUGAGAGACGAAAGCCAGGGGAGCAAAUGGG
Molecule: ribosomal RNA, 253 nt
Filed under: uncultured bacterium
Lineage: Bacteria
Description: partial 16S ribosomal RNA
Rfam family: Bacterial small subunit ribosomal RNA
Source: RNAcentral